RNAcentral lists this ribosomal RNA (183 nucleotides) under Clostridium sp. enrichment culture clone PHB2. Its description in RNAcentral is "partial 16S ribosomal RNA". It matches the Rfam family "Bacterial small subunit ribosomal RNA", at positions 351 to 540 of the family's 1533-position model. Lineage: Bacteria; Bacillati; Bacillota; Clostridia; Eubacteriales; Clostridiaceae. The record is from RNAcentral.
GGCGCGCGAAUAUUGGCACAAUGGGGGAAACCCUGAUGCAGCAACGCCGCGUGAGUGAUGACGGUCUUCGGAUUGUAAAGCUCUGUCUUUAGGGACGAUAAUGACGGUACCUAAGGAGGAAGCCCCGGCUAACUACGUGCCAGCAGCCGCGGUAAUUAAAAAGGGCGGCAGCCGCGAUAUACU